AGAUUGAACGCUGGCGGAAUGCUUUACACAUGCAAGUCGAGCGGCAGCGCGGGGGCAACCCUGGCGGCGAGCGGCGAACGGGUGAGUAACACAUCGGAACAUGUCCAGUUGUGGGGGAUAGCCCGGCGAAAGCCGGAUUAAUACCGCAUGAGCUCGAGAGAGGAAAGCGGGGGACCAAAGGCCUCGCGCGACUGGGUUGGCCGAUGUCCGAUUAGCUAGUUGGUGGGUAAAGGCCUACCAAGGCGAUGAUCGGUAGCUGGUCUGAGAGGAUGAUCAGCCACACUGGGACUGAGACACGGCCCAGACUCCUACGGGAGGCAGCAGUGGGAAUUUGGACAAUGGGGCAACCCUGAUCCAGCCAUCCGCGUGAGUGAAGAAGGCCUUCGGUAGUAAAGUCUCUUUGUCCGGAG
This 410-nucleotide ribosomal RNA is filed under the name uncultured soil bacterium. RNAcentral's name for it is "bacterial SSU rRNA". It matches the Rfam family "Bacterial small subunit ribosomal RNA", at positions 26 to 444 of the family's 1533-position model. The record is from RNAcentral.